This 426-nucleotide long non-coding RNA is filed under the name Marmota monax (woodchuck). The record is from RNAcentral. Lineage: Eukaryota; Metazoa; Chordata; Mammalia; Rodentia; Sciuridae.
AUAAAGGUGAUGCGCCUCUAGGUCGAUGGCACCAGCCACUGAGAUCACACAGUCAGCAGGGAAAUAGAGCUGUGGAGCUGGAUGGUCAAAACAUGGGGCCAUCGCCACCACACCCUCUCUGCACUAGACAAUCCCGACUCCCAAGACCCAGUGAAGCUUUGGAAUGCGUCUUGCUGGAGUGGCCAAGGGAGCUACUACACUGUGCUUGAAAUUGGUAUGGAGGGGACACCCAGUGAUCAUCUUCCAGAAAGAUGCACAAAACACCCAGAGCAUCUUCCAGAAAGAUGCACAAAACAACAAAGCAUCCUCACAGUAGAAUCAGCUUUAACCGACUCAUGGAGAUGCUGCAGGCAUAUCAGGAAAGUGAGAGCAGUAUAGUGGGGGGAGGGAGAGACUGCCUCCUCCUCUUUCUUCCUUUUCCUCCUA